Molecule: transfer RNA, 91 nt
Filed under: Stegodyphus mimosarum
Lineage: Eukaryota; Metazoa; Arthropoda; Arachnida; Araneae; Eresidae
Rfam family: tRNA
About the family: Transfer RNA (tRNA) molecules are approximately 80 nucleotides in length. Their secondary structure includes four short double-helical elements and three loops (D, anti-codon, and T loops). Further hydrogen bonds mediate the characteristic L-shaped molecular structure. tRNAs have two regions of fundamental functional importance: the anti-codon, which is responsible for specific mRNA codon recognition, and the 3' end, to which the tRNAs corresponding amino acid is attached (by aminoacyl-tRNA synthetases). tRNAs cope with the degeneracy of the genetic code in two manners: having more than one tRNA (with a specific anti-codon) for a particular amino acid; and 'wobble' base-pairing, i.e. permitting non-standard base-pairing at the 3rd anti-codon position.
Source: Rfam by way of RNAcentral
GCCUUUGUAGUGUAGUGGUCAGCACGCUGGAUGCGUAUUCCAGAGGUCCAUGGUAUUCCAGAGGUUCAUGGUUCGAGUCCCGGCGAAGGCG